RNAcentral lists this ribosomal RNA (378 nucleotides) under uncultured bacterium. RNAcentral describes it as "bacterial SSU rRNA". It matches the Rfam family "Bacterial small subunit ribosomal RNA", at positions 29 to 407 of the family's 1533-position model. The record is from RNAcentral.
AUUGAACGCUGGCGGCAUGCCUAACACAUGCAAGUCGAACGGAGGUAGGGGCAACUCUACUUCAGUGGCGGACGGGUGAGGGAAUGCGUCGGAAUCUACCCGUAUGGUGGGGGAUAACACAGGGAAACUUGUGCUAAUACCGCAUAAUGUCGAGAGACCAAAAGCAGGGGACCGCAAGGCCUUGCGCGAUAGGGAUGAAGCCGACGCCCGAUUAGCUAGUUGGUAGGGUAAAGGCCUACCAAGGCGACGAUCGGUAGCUGGUCUGAGAGGAUGAUCAGCCACACUGGGACUGAGACACGGCCCAGACUCCUACGGGAGGCAGCAGUGGGGAAUAUUGGACAAUGGGCGCAAGCCUGAUCCAGCAAUGCCGCGUGUGUG